Molecule: small RNA, 99 nt
Filed under: Nomascus leucogenys (northern white-cheeked gibbon)
Lineage: Eukaryota; Metazoa; Chordata; Mammalia; Primates; Hylobatidae
Description: Y RNA (ENSNLEG00000030161.1)
Source: RNAcentral
GGCCUCCCAAAGUGCUGGGAUUACAAGCGUGAGCCACCGCACCCGGCCAGAUUUCUUUGUUCCUUCUUCACUCCCACUGCUUCACUUGAUAAGCCUUUA